GAUGAACGCUGACAGAAUGCUUAACACAUGCAAGUCUUUGGCGAAGCUGUGCUUGCACAGCCUAGCCAAGGCGGACGGGUGAGUAACGCGUAAGGAACUUGCCCUGCAGUCAGGGAUAACAGACGGAAACGACUGAUAAGACCUGGUAAAGUCAGGCGGACUCAUGUCCAGCCUGAUGAAAAGAGAUGCUGCAGGAGAGCCUUGCGUCCUAUUAGCUUGUUGGUGGGGUAACGGCCCACCAAGGCGAUGAUAGGUAGCCGGCCUGAGAGGGUGGACGGCCACAAGGGGAGUGAGAUACGGCCCUUACUCCUACGGGAGGCAGCAGUGGGGAAUAUUGGACAAUGGGGGCAACCCUGAUCCAGCAAUUCUGUGUGCACGAUGAAGGUUUUCGGAUUGUAAAGUGCUUUCAGCAGGGAAGAAAAAAAUGACGGUACCUGCAGAAGAAGCGACGGCUAAAUACGUG
This 463-nucleotide ribosomal RNA is filed under the name uncultured bacterium. RNAcentral describes it as "partial 16S ribosomal RNA". It matches the Rfam family "Bacterial small subunit ribosomal RNA", at positions 28 to 507 of the family's 1533-position model. The record is from RNAcentral.